Molecule: long non-coding RNA, 1054 nt
Organism: Xenia sp. Carnegie-2017
Lineage: Eukaryota; Metazoa; Cnidaria; Anthozoa; Malacalcyonacea; Xeniidae
Exons: 2
Source: RefSeq, a predicted model, not a curated record
ACAUUGCUUUCUAAAUUUACUUUUACAUAAUUAACACAUUUCGUAUGUUAUGACAUCACGAUAGAAUAAAAAUUAAUUUGCUUUAUAUAGUGUCUUACAGCAUUUCUUGAAUUAGCUUUAGACGUGACUGUGUCAGAUGUCUUUUCCUACACAAACAAUGCAACUCAAUGGAUGAAAUUUUAAUGUUGAAACUAAACAACAAAAGAUAUUUGUGAGAGAAGAUAACAUACUGUGUAAAAUGAAGAGAUUUAGAGACAAGGAAAGGAAGGUGGAGAGAAUAGAAAGGUGGAGAGAAGAGGAGAGAAAGGUGAAGAGGAGGAAGAGGAGAGAAAAAUGGAGAGAAGAAGGAAAAGUGGAAGGAAUAGUUGUAACUAUUAUAUUGUGUUUAGAUAUAUGUGUGUUUAUAUAAAUAUCAAUAAAUAAAUAAGUAAACAAAACAAAAUGAACACCUUCAUCACCAACAGAAAGAUUAUUUUUUAGAUGAUGAAAGGAUGCAAGGUUAAACUUCUCCAAGUUGGUUGGAUCCUUAAAUGACAGAAAGAAUUUCAAUUGCUGACAUUUGAUCACAUUCAUUAUUUAUCCAAAUAUAUUUUUGUUCGUUUGUCCUUCAACAAGCAAAAUACACAAAAUACCUGGAUCGUUAAAAUAUCUUUACGUAAGAAAGGCUCGUCCGUUAACAAAUCUUUGAAAUUUCUUGUUUUAAUGUUCAACUGCUCAACAGCCUUAAAUACAACAACAAAUCUUGAAAUAAACAGAUGACAAACAAACCAUUAUGAAAAUGUCAUGUAUUUACCUCAAAUGAGAAAACAUUUCCAGUUUUUUUGAUAGCAACAAUAUGACUGUUUUGUGUGAACACUUUAUAUGUGACAGGACAAUGAUAUUUAUCUGGUUUACAAGAAAAACGAUAACUCCAAUAAAGGAUGUUUUCAUUUUUUAUACAUUAACUUUUCAUAGUACUGCUGAUAGUACCUUCUGAAUUUUUGUGGAAAUUCAAUUUGAUCAAAUUUUUAAUUUCCAGAAUCUGAAAUAAUAAAGUAUUUAAGAAACAAACUAA